Molecule: long non-coding RNA, 213 nt
Filed under: Elaeis guineensis (African oil palm)
Lineage: Eukaryota; Viridiplantae; Streptophyta; Magnoliopsida; Arecales; Arecaceae
Description: long non-coding RNA (EGUI_LNC023565)
Source: RNAcentral
UCGCAACACUCCAACGACCAUUAGAACAAUAACAUCUAGCCGACCAAUGCACCACCACCACCGGCAUUAGAGAAUCCUCCAUCGACAGCACCAGCAAUCUCUCACGAUCAAUAUAACAGCCUUGUUCAGCAGGUACAAGUACUUUCAGUCGCGGUGAGAGGGAUACAACAAAAUAUGAAGCCAUCCCCCGUCGUGAAAAAUACAUAGCCAGCC